RNAcentral lists this ribosomal RNA (252 nucleotides) under uncultured Gardnerella sp. RNAcentral describes it as "partial 16S ribosomal RNA". It matches the Rfam family "Bacterial small subunit ribosomal RNA", at positions 103 to 355 of the family's 1533-position model. Lineage: Bacteria; Bacillati; Actinomycetota; Actinomycetes; Bifidobacteriales; Bifidobacteriaceae. The record is from RNAcentral.
CGGGUGAGUAAUGCGUGACCAACCUCGCCCCAUGCUCCAGAAUAGCUCUUGGAAACGGGUGGUAAUGCUGGAUGCUCCAACUUGACGCAUGUCUUGUUGGGAAAGUGUUUAGUGGCAUGGGAUGGGGUCGCGUCCUAUCAGCUUGUAGGCGGGGUAAUGGCCCACCUAGGCUUCGACGGGUAGCCGGCCUGAGAGGGCGGACGGCCACAUUGGGACUGAGAUACGGCCCAGACUCCUACGGGAGGCAGCAGC